CGAAGGGUGCGAGCGUUAAUCGGAAUUACUGGGCGUAAAGCGCGCGUAGGCGGUUUGUUAAGUUGGAGGUGAAAUCCCCGGGCUCAACCUGGGAAGUGCCUCCAAAACUGGCUGACUAGAGUACGGUAGAGGGUGGUGGAAUUUCCUGUGUAGCGGUGAAAUGCGUAGAUAUAGGAGGACACCAGUGGCGAAGGCGACCACCUGGACUGAUACUGACGCUGAGGUGCGAAAGCGUGGGGGAGCAAACAGGAUU
This 253-nucleotide ribosomal RNA is filed under the name uncultured bacterium. Its description in RNAcentral is "partial 16S ribosomal RNA". It matches the Rfam family "Bacterial small subunit ribosomal RNA", at positions 526 to 779 of the family's 1533-position model. The record is from RNAcentral.